RNA transcript from Bufo bufo (common toad), 1682 nucleotides. It is a transcript of the gene named WD repeat domain 4, with no coding region annotated. NCBI's taxonomy places the organism in Eukaryota, Metazoa, Chordata, Amphibia, Anura, Bufonidae. The transcript is spliced from 13 exons. The record is from RefSeq and is a predicted model, not a curated record.
CUGCUGGCGCUCAGUGAUGACGUCACAAUUACUGGACUAGGAGUCCACACGUGUGCUGCGCGCUGACAGCUCGUGACUAGAUCUGUGGACCUCCAUGAUGCUGAGGCUGAGGGCUGGGAAGCUGAUUGUGGCGGGGGGCAGCCGCCUGCUGGGGGGCAGGAUCAGGUCCAAGGACUCGUUCUUCAUCUUUGAUUGUGGUGAUCUGGAGCAGAGACUUCCAGCUGAAGGCAGACAGGACCCGCCCACCAUCGCCUCGGAUAAGAUUCUGGCUGCCGCUUUCUCAUCUUCUGGGGACUAUUUUGCUUUGACCGAUGACAGUAAAAGACUUGUUCUAUUUAGGACGACUCCGACCUGGGAGAAGAUCAGUAUCAGGUGGGUCUGUCGUCGCUGCACCUCUCUGACCUUCUCGCCAUGUGAGCGCCGCAUCCUGGUGGCGGAUAAAUCUGGAGACGUUUUCUCGUUCUCUGUGCAGGCUGCACAGGAGGAAGGACACCUGGAGCUGGGGCACCUCUCCAUGUUACUGGACCUGGUGGUGACUCAAGAUGGACAAUAUAUUAUCACCUGCGACCGUGAUGAGAAAAUCCGUGUCAGCCAGCGGGGGGCGCCGCACGUCAUCACUGCCUUCUGCCUAGGACAUACAGAGUUUGUCUCACAGCUGGCGUCUGCACAGGAGAAGCUGCUGCUGUCUGGAUCGGGGGAUGGGACACUGCGGCUCUGGAGAUACGAGACGGGACAGGAACUUCAGAGGUUUACCAUCGGCAGCAUUGAGAGGCCUGAAGAUUCCCAAAAUGAUACCCGAGAGAUCAAGAGAUUUGCUGUCUCCAGGAUCUGCUGCAGUGGAGAACAAGUGGCCGUCCUGUGUGAUGGCAUUCCUGGGAUCUACUUGUUCUCAAUUUCUACCAGUCCGCACCUCACCCACCAGCAGUACGUCGCCCUCCCGUAUGUUCCCGUGGACAUGGAUUUUGAGGACCUGACCUCCCUUUGGGUGUUAUUGUCUGUCAAGGAAAACCCUAUAGCGCUCCUCCAGUACAGAGAGCAGAGAUGGAAGCCGGUGCCACUAGACGACCGCAUGAAGGAGGUGUCAGAGACCAUCAGAAAGAACUGGGAGCAAAUGGAAGGAUCGGUGACCCUGGAGAACCGCUUCAGCGCUUUAUAUAAAGCCGUAGUUGACAACAUGGCCUCCUACCUGCAGAAGAAGGAAGCGCGGAUCCAGACCGAGAAAAGGAAGUCCUCAACCGGGCAAACAGCAGCUGCUGCCAAGAUUCAGAAGAUGUGAAUCGGUGCUUGCUCCUCCCUCCAGAAGGCAACAGGUCACAUGGGACAGUAUAAGGGUCAGAGGAGGGCGAGGGGCUAGGGAUGUACUGACUGAUGAAGAGCGUCCUAGAGAGUCCCGCCUCUGACCCUCCGAUCCCCGUUGUAUCCCGCCUCUGACCCUCCGAUCCCCCGUGUAUCCCGCCUCUGACCCUCCGAUCCCCGUGUAUCCCGCCUCUGACCCUCCGGUCCCCGUGUAUCCCGCCACUGACCCUCCGGUCCCCGUGUAUCCCGCCACUGACCCUCCGAUCUCCCGUGUAUCCCGCCUCUGACCCUCCGAUCUCCCGUGUAUCCCGCCUCUGACCCUCCGAUCCCCGUGUAUCCCGCCUCUGACCCUCCGAUCCCCCGUGUAUCCCGCCUCUGACCCUCCG